GAGGGGUAUAGGUUUUCGGACCUAGAGACCGGCGCACGGGUGCGUAACGCGUAUGCAAUCUACCUUUUACAGAGGGAUAGCCCAGAGAAAUUUGGAUUAAUACCUCAUAGUAUUACGACUCGGCAUCGAGAUGUAAUUAAAGUCACAACGGUAAAAGAUGAGCAUGCGUCCCAUUAGCUAGUUGGUAAGGUAACGGCUUACCAAGGCAACGAUGGGUAGGGGUCCUGAGAGGGAGAUCCCCCACACUGGUACUGAGACACGGACCAGACUCCUACGGGAGGCAGCAGUGAGGAAUAUUGGUCAAUGGGCGCAAGCCUGAACCAGCCAUGCCGCGUGCAGGAUGAAGCAUCUAUGGUGUGUAAACUGCUUUUGUACGAGAAGAAACACUCCUACGUGUAGGAGCUUGACGGUAUCGUAAGAAUAAGGACCGGCUAACUCCGUGCCAGCAGCCGCGGUAAUACGGAGGGUCCAAGCGUUAUCCGGAAUCAUUGGGUUUAAAGGGUCCGUAGGCGGUUUAGUAAGUCAGUGGUGAAAGCCCAUCGCUCAACGGUGGAACGGCCAUUGAUACUGCUAGACUUGAAUUAUUAGGAAGUAACUAGAAUAUGUAGUGUAGCGGUGAAAUGCUUAGAGAUUACAUGGAAUACCAAUUGCGAAGGCAGGUUACUACUAAUGGAUUGACGCUGAUGGACGAAAGCGUGGGGAGCGAACAGGAUUAGAUACCCUGGUAGUCCACGCCGUAAACGAUGGAUACUAGCUGUUCGGAGCAAUCUGAGUGGCUAAGCGAAAGUGAUAAGUAUCCCACCUGGGGAGUACGUUCGC
This 819-nucleotide ribosomal RNA is filed under the name uncultured bacterium. RNAcentral's name for it is "bacterial SSU rRNA". It matches the Rfam family "Bacterial small subunit ribosomal RNA", at positions 64 to 889 of the family's 1533-position model. The record is from RNAcentral.